UGGAAAAAUUUGAUCCUGGCUCAGGAUGAACGCUGGCGGCGUGCUUAACACAUGCAAGUCGAACGAUGAAGCCCAGCUUGCUGGGUGGAUUAGUGGCGAACGGGUGAGUAACACGUGAGUAACCUGCCCUUAACUCUGGGAUAAGCCUGGGAAACUGGGUCUAAUACCGGAUAGGAGCGUCCACCGCAUGGUGGGUGUUGGAAAGAUUUAUCGGUUUUGGAUGGACUCGCGGCCUAUCAGCUUGUUGGUGAGGUAAUGGCUCACCAAGGCGACGACGGGUAGCCGGCCUGAGAGGGUGACCGGCCACAUUGGGACUGAGACACGGCCCAGACUCCUACGGGAGGCAGCAGUGGGGAAUAUUGCACAAUGGGCGAAAGCCUGAUGCAGCGACGCCGCGUGAGGGAUGACGGCCUUCGGGUUGUAACCCUCUUUCAGUAGGGAAGAAGCGAAAG
This 452-nucleotide ribosomal RNA is filed under the name Micrococcaceae bacterium BAB1575. RNAcentral describes it as "bacterial SSU rRNA". It matches the Rfam family "Bacterial small subunit ribosomal RNA", at positions 1 to 456 of the family's 1533-position model. Lineage: Bacteria; Bacillati; Actinomycetota; Actinomycetes; Micrococcales; Micrococcaceae. The record is from RNAcentral.